AGAAUCAACGCUGGCGGCGUGCCUAACACAUGCAAGUCGAACGAGAAAGUGGAGCAAUCCACAAGUAAAGUGGCGCACGGGUGAGUAACACGUGACUAACCUACCCUUGAGUGGGGGAUAACCUAGGGAAACCUGGGCUAAUACCGCAUAAUACCUACGGUCAAAGGAGCAAUUCGCUUAUGGAGGGGGUCGCGGCCGAUUAGUUAGUUGGCGGGGUAAUGGCCCACCAAGACGAUGAUCGGUAUCCGGCCUGAGAGGGCGCACGGACACACUGGAACUGAAACACGGUCCAGACUCCUACGGGAGGCAGCAGUGGGGAAUUUUGCGCAAUGGGGGAAACCCUGACGCAGCAACGCCGCGUGGAGGAUGAAGUCCCUUGGGACGUAAACUCCUUUCGAUCGGGACGAUAAUGACGGUACCGGAAGAAGAAGCCCCGGCUAACUUCGCGCCAGCAGCCGC
RNAcentral lists this ribosomal RNA (459 nucleotides) under uncultured bacterium. Its description in RNAcentral is "SSU rRNA". It matches the Rfam family "Bacterial small subunit ribosomal RNA", at positions 26 to 518 of the family's 1533-position model. The record is from RNAcentral.